AAUUUGAUUGGAACGUCAUUUGGAACGUAUCAGAUACCGUGGAAUUCGGGAGAAAAAGAGCGAAAAAUGAUCAAAAUGAAAGCAAGUGAAAGUUCAAGACCCAAUUUGCAAAUAAUCCAAAGAUGAGACGAGCGAUGGAAUGAUGAUUUGACAAUGCUAAAGUCAAUUGGUUGCAAUCAGAAGUUAAAAGAAAUGAAAUGUAACCAUAACAUUUUC
This 216-nucleotide long non-coding RNA is filed under the name Olea europaea (common olive). Its description in RNAcentral is "long non-coding RNA (OEUR_LNC014008)". Lineage: Eukaryota; Viridiplantae; Streptophyta; Magnoliopsida; Lamiales; Oleaceae. The record is from RNAcentral.